AACGAACGCUGGCGGCAUGCCUAACACAUGCAAGUCGAACGAGACCUUCGGGUCUAGUGGCGCACGGGUGCGUAACGCGUGGGAACCUGCCCUUAGGUUCGGAAUAACUCCCCGAAAGGGGUGCUAAUACCGGAUAAUGUCUUCGGACCAAAGAUUUAUCGCCUUUGGAUGGGCCCGCGUUGGAUUAGCUAGUUGGUAGGGUAAAAGCCUGCCAAGGCGACGAUCCAUAGCUGGUCUGAGAGGAUGAUCAGCCACACUGGGACUGAGACACGGCCCAGACUCCUACGGGAAGCAGCAGUGGGGAAUAUUGGACAAUGGGCGAAAGCCUGAUCCAGCAAUGCCGCGUGAGUGAUGAAGGCCUUAGGGUUGUAAAGCUCUUUUACCCGGGAUGAUAAUGACAGUACCGGGAGAAUAAGCGCCGGCUAACUCCGUG
Molecule: ribosomal RNA, 433 nt
Filed under: uncultured bacterium
Lineage: Bacteria
Description: partial 16S ribosomal RNA
Rfam family: Bacterial small subunit ribosomal RNA
Source: RNAcentral